This 614-nucleotide ribosomal RNA is filed under the name Escherichia coli. RNAcentral's name for it is "partial 23S ribosomal RNA". It matches the Rfam family "Bacterial large subunit ribosomal RNA", at positions 2027 to 2640 of the family's 2925-position model. Lineage: Bacteria; Pseudomonadati; Pseudomonadota; Gammaproteobacteria; Enterobacterales; Enterobacteriaceae. The record is from RNAcentral.
CGAGACUCAGUGAAAUUGAACUCGCUGUGAAGAUGCAGUGUACCCGCGGCAAGACGGAAAGACCCCGUGAACCUUUACUAUAGCUUGACACUGAACAUUGAGCCUUGAUGUGUAGGAUAGGUGGGAGGCUUUGAAGUGUGGACGCCAGUCUGCAUGGAGCCGACCUUGAAAUACCACCCUUUAAUGUUUGAUGUUCUAACGUUGACCCGUAAUCCGGGUUGCGGACAGUGUCUGGUGGGUAGUUUGACUGGGGCGGUCUCCUCCUAAAGAGUAACGGAGGAGCACGAAGGUUGGCUAAUCCUGGUCGGACAUCAGGAGGUUAGUGCAAUGGCAUAAGCCAGCUUGACUGCGAGCGUGACGGCGCGAGCAGGUGCGAAAGCAGGUCAUAGUGAUCCGGUGGUUCUGAAUGGAAGGGCCAUCGCUCAACGGAUAAAAGGUACUCCGGGGAUAACAGGCUGAUACCGCCCAAGAGUUCAUAUCGACGGCGGUGUUUGGCACCUCGAUGUCGGCUCAUCACAUCCUGGGGCUGAAGUAGGUCCCAAGGGUAUGGCUGUUCGCCAUUUAAAGUGGUACGCGAGCUGGGUUUAGAACGUCGUGAGACAGUUCGGUCCCUA